RNAcentral lists this long non-coding RNA (356 nucleotides) under Erythranthe guttata (spotted monkey flower). Its description in RNAcentral is "long non-coding RNA (EGUT_LNC003847)". The record is from RNAcentral. Lineage: Eukaryota; Viridiplantae; Streptophyta; Magnoliopsida; Lamiales; Phrymaceae.
UGUCUACAUCCACGAUCCACGCCUAAACUAGGCGUCCACCCGCCACAAGGCACAACCAAAAUAAGCGUGUAAAAUUCAUUUGGGUGUGAAAAAGAAUUUUACACACCUAUUUUGGGCGUCCAAGUUGCGCAGCUCAGAAAAAAAACCAUAAAAUCCGAUUUCUAGGGGAUUUUAACAUAUAAUUGACAAAAUAAACUCACAAUAAUUGACAUGUAACUAAUUUAUAGUAGAAAUUACCUUUAAAUUUGGUGAGAUUUUGGAACUUGAGAUGGCUUUUGUGAGUUCUUGUAUGUUUUGGUGGUUUUGGGUGAGUUUAGAAAGAGAAAGUAAGGUAUAGAGUGAACAGUAUUCAUAAU